UUGACCUCGGAUCAGGUACGG
Molecule: ribosomal RNA, 21 nt
Filed under: Penicillium sp. GZU-BCECYN31-4
Lineage: Eukaryota; Fungi; Ascomycota; Eurotiomycetes; Eurotiales; Aspergillaceae
Description: partial 28S ribosomal RNA
Source: RNAcentral